RNAcentral lists this non-coding RNA (45 nucleotides) under Enterobacter cancerogenus. RNAcentral describes it as "Histone3". It matches the Rfam family "Histone 3' UTR stem-loop". From Rfam's summary of the family: The mRNAs of metazoan histone genes lack a poly-A tail. 3' end processing occurs at a site between a highly conserved stem-loop (modelled by this family) and a purine rich region around 20 nts downstream (the histone downstream element, or HDE). Lineage: Bacteria; Pseudomonadati; Pseudomonadota; Gammaproteobacteria; Enterobacterales; Enterobacteriaceae. The record is from RNAcentral.
CCUAAGGCUUUUCUUAAAGCCAUUUACUGAUUAAAAGAAAGGCUA